RNAcentral lists this ribosomal RNA (501 nucleotides) under uncultured bacterium. Its description in RNAcentral is "partial 16S ribosomal RNA". It matches the Rfam family "Bacterial small subunit ribosomal RNA", at positions 29 to 523 of the family's 1533-position model. The record is from RNAcentral.
AUUGAACGCUGGCGGCAUGCCUUACACAUGCAAGUCGAACGGCAGCACGGGUGCUUGCACCUGGUGGCGAGUGGCGAACGGGUGAGUAAUACAUCGGAACGUACCUUACCGUGGGGGAUAACGCAGCGAAAGCUGUGCUAAUACCGCAUACGCCCUGAGGGGGAAAGCGGGGGAUCGCAAGACCUCGCGCGAUUAGAGCGGCCGAUGCCUGAUUAGCUUGUUGGUGGGGUAAGAGCCCACCAAGGCGACGAUCAGUAGCUGGUCUGAGAGGACGAUCAGCCACACUGGGACUGAGACACGGCCCAGACUCCUACGGGAGGCAGCAGUGGGGAAUUUUGGACAAUGGGGGCAACCCUGAUCCAGCAAUGCCGCGUGAGUGAAGAAGGCCUUCGGGUUGUAAAGCUCUUUUGUCAGGGAAGAAACACCGGCUCUAACACAGUCUGGGAAUGACGGUACCUGAAGAAUAAGCACCGGCUAACUACGUGCCAGCAGCCGCAGUAA